UUAGACCAUUCAGAGACAACGACAAGUGACCAGAGGCAGAGGGUGGGGGGGUCAGUGAGGGGUGAUCGCUGGAGACCAUCGCUUUAAGUUCAGGGGCUUUGCACAGGUACCAGCCAUGCCCAACUGCAUUGUCGCCGGUUGCACCAGCAAGCAGAACAAACCCAACACCAUGAAAGGGGUCAUUUUACACGUGUUUCCUCCAGACCUAGAGAGGAUCAAAACUUGGUUACUGCAAACUGGACAGGACUUCGGAGAUCUGGACGAGUUUGCACAAAAAGUCCUGGAUGGCAAAAGAACCGACGCUUACAGAUUAUGCUCCGCCCAUUUUACACUCCAAUGUUACCACGACCGCGCUUCAAAGAAAGCGCUAAGAGCCAACGCUGUGCCCACCAUUUUUCACAACAAAGAAGCAACAAGUCAACAAAAAUGCACAAAAAAAAAUAAAAGAUCGACCACUUCAGCAAAUGGAACAGACAUCUACCGCAAAACCAAAGAGGCAAGCACCCAAACCUGUCCGCUUCUUGGCACAAAGACCGCGAAGUCUCUUCGGUCGAAAUCGCACAUUGUUACUGAUUCACACAAAAUGGACGAAAUAAGGAAAACAUUCACCGAAAAGAUAUUCGAUCUCACCCUGGGGAUCGUCUACCUGCUGAUUGGAGAGGACUUUGCAGUGGUGAAGACUUCUGGUGAGUGUGUGACAUCCCACACCUAUCCCCAUAUGUCAGGAGGAAGGAGCAGUACCCAAAGCCCCACAAUGGAGAUUCUACCUCCUUCUCCGACACCUGAGAGAAACUACGAGAAGAUCCUAGAAGUCACCAACCAGAUCAUUGAUCUGCUGACAGGAGAGGGUGAAAAUUUAGUAAAGGUAAAGAUUGAAGUAAAAUCUGAACAUGAAGAGCCCUAUGUGAUGGGUGAUGAGGUGUGCAUAAGUGAGGAGAUCCCUCCAGAGAUCGGUACAGACCCCGGAGACACCAGAACCACCCAGAGAGACAUUAAAGUCAAGGAGGAGGAAGAAGUACACGUGUGGAUUAAAGAGGAGGAAGUUCCUAUGGAGAUCGGCACAGACCCCGGACACACGAGUGCCACUCAGAGUAAUGUCAAAGCUGAGGAGGAGGAAGGAGAACAUGUGAGGAUUAAAGAGGAGGACAUUCCUCCCGAGAUCAGCACAGGUGAAAAAUACAACAUGGAGACAAAUUCCGUUAGCCUUCCCAAUGAUGAAACAGAUGAUGAUGAUGUCACAGAUGAUUCUUCAGAUGAAAAUCCCAUUGCUCCCAAUUCAAAUGCAGAAUUUCACAGUACACAUCGAUAUCCUGAUCCUCCCACACAUGGGACAAGCUUUUCUGAUCACUCCUAUCCCAUCCCUCAUCAUGUAGAUCGUAGAGGAGGUGAAGCUGUUCUGUCUGCCGAAAACGGCAGACCUCCUCACACCUGUCCUCUGUGCGCAAAAGGCUUCCCCGACAAGUUCCUCCUGCGCAAACACGAGAAGACUCACAAAGGGGAGAUGCCCUAUUAUUGUCCGGAGUGUGGGAAAGAUUACCUUCACAAAUCAAGAUUCAUAUCGCAUCGAAGGAUUCACACGGGAGAGAAACCGUAUUCGUGUUCUAAGUGCGGGAAGAGCUUUGCAAAUAAACCUGAUCUGGUCAGACAUCACCGAAUGCACACCGGGGAAAAGCCUUUUUCAUGUUCUGACUGUGGGAAACGUUUCGCGCAGAGGGUGCAUCUUCUUUCCCAUCAGAAAAAACAUGCGCUUGAGAAGCAAUAAUGGGAAUUUUCUACCUUCUUGGCCAAGUACCUACAAGAGGAUUCUAGUGGAAAUUCUGUGCUUUCGUGUAUUUUGUUUCCUGUCAUCUGAAUGGCAAUUUGAUGGCUAUAUGAAACCCAUAUACACGAUAUUGUCAAAAGUAUUGGGACACCUGCCUUUACACGCACAUAGCCUGCACAUCCAGCUUUUGUCCGAAAAUUUGGAAUCGACUUUAGAAAGCACCAUCAGAAAAUCGGCAGAUCGUUCAUCGGACAAAAUUUUACUUCCGAUUUUUCUGAUCGUGCUUAGGGGCCUUCAGUCCAUAGUGCCUGACCUCAAAAAUGCGCUUCUGGAAGAACGGUCAAACAUUCCCAUAGACACACUCCUAUACCUUGUGGACA
Rana temporaria (common frog) is the source of this 2142-nucleotide RNA transcript. It is a transcript of the gene named zinc finger and SCAN domain-containing protein 12-like, with no coding region annotated. The record is from RefSeq and is a predicted model, not a curated record. NCBI's taxonomy places the organism in Eukaryota, Metazoa, Chordata, Amphibia, Anura, Ranidae. The transcript has 10 exons.